CAUAUAUGAAGAUACAUCAGUUCAUAUGAUUAAAUAUUGAAAAUUUAUCAAUAAUUGAGGUAUUUUUGUAAGUCACUUAUAAUGUUUGAAAGGAUUGGAAGUAAAAAAAAAGGACAGAAUAAAUUGCAUAACAAUCAGAAAAAUAAUAUAUUUAUAUUAGAUUUAUCAGUUAAUAUUUAUAUUAUUUAAUUUCAUUGUUUGACAGGGUAUUAGAGCAUUAUUAAGCAUAUUUUUUUUCUAAUUAAUUUAUAUUUGGUUGUAGUUCAGUUAUGCUAUCAGUUACACUUUCAGGAAUAUAUAUUUGUUGCUAAGAUAAGUUUCAGCAUUAACAUCAGUUAAGUAUUUAGUGAAGAAAUACUGGUUACUCAUUGGGUUAUUAUUGUGUUAGGGCUAUUCUAGGAAACGGCAUGAUACGGUUGAGGGGUGUUGCAGGGUUGAAUAGCACUUUUACACCAAAAGUCCAUCCAUACAAUUGUGAUUAGAUAUUAGAUAGAAAUAUGAUGCACUUUUGAGUGAAUCUUGUUUUGGACCCUUCUACCCCAAUAUUGAUAAUAUUAGGUGCUUUCUAACGCCUCUCCCAUAAAUUGAUUGUGGAAUAGCCCCUAGAAUUGAGUUAAGUUAAAUCUCAGGUUUUUUAUGUGUUAGAUAUUUUCAUUGUUUUUCAUUACUAUACAGGUUGAAUUUUUUGUGGGAACUAAGAUAAUUUUGCCUCUAAAUACGAAAGUCAUUAUUUUCUAAAAUAGAUUUGAUAAAGCUAUAAUUAAGUUCCUAAAAAUCGCCAUGACAACUAAUAUGCAUUCUUUGAGUAAUUUUGAAUACUUUAAAUUGACAUGCAGCCAUAAAAGGCAAUUGACCUUUGUCUAAAAAUAGAAUGACUCACAUAUCCUUCAUUUUGUUUUUAGGAAAUAAUCUAUCUUAAAAACAUCUAGUUAUUUCCAGUAAAACCAGUUGUAAUUGGAUCAGAUUUCCACAGAAAAUUAAACCUGAGUGUAGUAUUGAUAAUUAUUUGAGGUCAAUUGUUUUCUGUCCAUUACAUGUUCAUUCCACUUCAUAUUUUUAUUUUGGUCAGUUAUUCCUAACCAUCUUUUAAAAAAAACAUUAUUCUGCACUUUCAAUACCUGAAGUCAUAGAACUAACUUAGAAUUAUUUUAUUUUAUUGAAGAAAAGUAAACAGAUUAAAGUUUUCCUUCUAUUAUUUAAAGGUAAUAAUAAGUUAAAUUCUUAAGUUUUGAAAUAGAAAUUCAAAUUCCAAAAUUUAUUUGAAAUAUGUCUGAUUAUUAUUUUUUUCUGAAGCAAUGAUCUAGAAUCCAUUGCAAAAAUGAAUGUACAUUUUUUAUUGGAAUUCAAUCAUAUAUGAUAUUUAUGUAUGAUAAUUCUAAUGAUCCAAUUGAAAAUGAAUAACAGUUUGCCAAUUGUUUACUAUGUAAACAUUUAGGCCACACCAAGUCAUGUGAUAUUAAUUAUGUAAUAAAUGAUAGGCGGAUUAUUCAGUUUGGUAAUUUAGAAUGUUAUGGACAUGAAAGUAAUUGACAGUGUAGUCAGAAAGCUUACGUUUUAUUAAGCUUAUGUUCUAUACAUAUUAGAUAUUUGUAUCAAACAAGAUAGUAUUAGAGAUUUGUUUCAGAUUAUUUUGUAUAUUGUUGCAUUGGUGUGUAAUUUUUGGUAAAGGGCAGUAAUUUCGUUAUGAAACUUCAGUUAUCUCCCUUCAUUUUUGCAGGUAUUUUUUUUGUGUGUUCUUAACCAACAAAUUUUUUUAUAAAAAAAAUCCAUUUUGAUUAUGCAUAGAUGCCAACCAUUACGAUUUUUCCGUAGUUUUUCCGAUUUUGCGAUACAAACUACGCUAUUACGGUAAAGUCGAAUAGUUACGGAUUCCAAUCAUCGCCGUUCAAUUUUUAAAUCGCGGAUUUUUAUCAUUACUUUUCCGUCCUGGUCCGGUAUUUAGAAAACGACAAUGUAAUGUUUCCGGUUUCUCGGGAGUUAUCAACCUAUUGAUGGGAACUAACUGACUUCCGAAGAG
This 2017-nucleotide long non-coding RNA is filed under the name Mytilus galloprovincialis (Mediterranean mussel). The record is from RNAcentral. Lineage: Eukaryota; Metazoa; Mollusca; Bivalvia; Mytilida; Mytilidae.